This 263-nucleotide unclassified non-coding RNA is filed under the name plant metagenome. RNAcentral describes it as "partial contains small subunit ribosomal RNA, internal transcribed spacer 1, and 5.8S ribosomal RNA". The record is from RNAcentral.
UUUCCGUAGGUGAACCUGCGGAAGGAUCAUUAUUGUAUAACCGAGGUGCGAGGGCUGUCGCUGACCCGAAAGGUCGUGCACGCCCGAGUGCCCUCACACGCAUCCAUCUCACCCCUAUGUGCACCACCGCGUGGGUCCCCCUUUGGCUUGUUCGGAGGGGGGCUUACGUUUUCACUCAAUCUUUGUAUGCAGUGUAGAAUGUAUUUUUUGUUUUUGCGAUCACGCAAUCAAUACAACUUUCAACAACGGAUCUCUUGGCUCUC